AGAGUUUGAUCCUGGCUCAGAACGUACGCUGGCGGCACGCCUAACACAUGCAAGUCGAACGAAGUAGCAAUACUUAGUGGCAAACGGGUGAGUAAUAUGUGGGAAUCUACCCUUCGGUCUGGAAUAACAUGAGGAAACUUAUGCUAAUACUGGAUAAGCCUUUACAGGGAAAGCUUUAUGCUCCGAUUGAUGAGUCCACACUUGAUUAGUUAGUUGGUGAGGUAAUAGCUCACCAAGACAAUGAUCAAUAGCUGAUUUGAGAGGAUGAUCAGCCACAUUGGGACUGAGACACGGCCCAAACUCCUACGGGAGGCAGCAGUGGGGAAUUUUGCACAAUGGGGGAAACCCUGAUGCAGCGAUGCCGCGUGAGUGAAGAAGGCCCUUGGGUUGUAAAACUCUUUCGUCGGGGAAGAAAAUGACUGUACCCGAAUAAGAAGGUCCGGCUAACUUCGUGCCAGCAGCCGCGGUAAUACGAAGGGACCUAGCGUAGUUCGGAAUUACUGGGCUUAAAGAGCACGUAGGUGGUUAAAAAAGUUGAUGGUGAAAUCCCAGAGCUUAACUCUGGAACUGCCAUCAAAACUUUUUAGCUAGAGUGUGAUAGAGGAAAGUAGAAUUUCUAGUGUAGAGGUGAAAUUCGUAGAUAUUAGAAAGAAUACCAAUUGCGAAGGCAGCUUUCUGGAUCAUUACUGACACUGAGGUGCGAAAGCAUGGGUAGCGAAGAGGAUUAGAUACCCUCGUAGUCCAUGCCGUAAACGAUGUGUGCUAGACGUUGGAAAUUUAUUUUUCAGUGUCGCAGCGAAAGCGUUAAGCACACCGCCUGGGGAGUACGACCGCAAGGUUAAAACUCAAAUGAAUUGACGGGGACCCGCACAAGCAGUGGAGCAUGUGGUUUAAUUCGAAGAUACGCGCAGAACCUUACCAACACUUGACAUGUUCGUCGCGACUUUAAGAGAUUAAAGUCUUCGGUUCGGCCGGACGAAACACAGGUGCUGCAUGGCUGUCGUCAGCUCGUGUCGUGAGAUGUUGGGUUAAGUCCCGCAACGAGCGCAACCCUUACUUUUAGUUGCCACCAUUUAGUUGAGCACUCUGAAAGAACUGCCAGUGAUAAACUGGAGGAAGGUGGGGAUGACGUCAAGUCCUCAUGGCCCUUAUGUGUUGGGCUACACACGUGCUACAAUGGCACUUACAAUAGGAAGCAAAGAGGCGACUCUAAGCAAAUCCUUAAAAAGUGCCUCAGUUCGGAUUGUACUCUGCAACUCGGGUACAUGAAGCUGGAGUUGCUAGUAAUCGCGGAUCAGCGUGCCGCGGUGAAUACGUUCCCGGGUCUUGUACACACCGCCCG
RNAcentral lists this ribosomal RNA (1342 nucleotides) under uncultured bacterium. RNAcentral's name for it is "bacterial SSU rRNA". It matches the Rfam family "Bacterial small subunit ribosomal RNA". The record is from RNAcentral.